UAAGGGUGGCAGUGGCAGCGUUCGUGUGCUCGGGUCUGACUCACUGAGGGAGGAGGCGGUGGAGGAAGAGGUGGCGGCGGUGGCGGUGGUCGUAGCGGUGGCGGAGGAGGCGGGUACGAAUCAGCUGCGGGCAGAGACAUGGCCAACAUCGCGGUGCAGCGAAUCAAGCGGGAGUUCAAGGAGGUGCUGAAGAGCGAGGAGGGCAGCAGCAAUGACUCUGCGCACGGUAUUAUUGUCAUUGCAAGCACUGUUGGCAGCUGCAGAACCAGAUGACCCACAAGAUGCAGUAGUAGCAAAUCAGUACAAACAAAAUCCUGAAAUGUUCAAACGAACAGCUCGACUUUGGGCACACGUGUAUGCUGGAGCACCAGUUUCUAGUCCAGAGUACACCAAAAAAAUAGAAAACCUAUGUGCUAUGGGCUUUGAUAGGAAUGCAGUAAUAGUGGCCUUGUCUUCAAAAUCAUGGGAUGUAGAGACUGCGACAGAACUGCUUCUGAGUGACUGAGGCAUAGGGAGCUGCUACCUGCGCUUGCCUCUUCCCGAGGAGCACCAACAUCUUAUUUUUAGGAUUCUACAUAAAUUUCUUU
This is an RNA transcript of Nannospalax galili (Upper Galilee mountains blind mole rat), 587 nucleotides long. It is a transcript of the gene named ubiquitin-conjugating enzyme E2 K pseudogene, with no coding region annotated. NCBI's taxonomy places the organism in Eukaryota, Metazoa, Chordata, Mammalia, Rodentia, Spalacidae. The transcript has a single exon. The record is from RefSeq and is a predicted model, not a curated record.